UACGGAGGAUGCGAGCGUUAUCCGGAUUUAUUGGGUUUAAAGGGUGCGUAGGCGGCUUUUUAAGUCAGCGGUGAAAGUUUGCAGCUUAACUGUAAAAUUGCCAUUGAUACUGUAGUUCUUGAGUAUGGUCAAGGCAGGCGGAAUGUGUAAUGUAGCGGUGAAAUGCUUAGAUAUUACACAGAACACCAAUUGCGAAGGCAGCUUGCUGGGCCAUUACUGACGCUGAGGCACGAAAGCGUGGGGAUCAAACAGGAUUAGA
RNAcentral lists this ribosomal RNA (259 nucleotides) under uncultured prokaryote. RNAcentral describes it as "partial 16S ribosomal RNA". It matches the Rfam family "Bacterial small subunit ribosomal RNA", at positions 524 to 782 of the family's 1533-position model. The record is from RNAcentral.